Molecule: long non-coding RNA, 294 nt
Organism: Nyctereutes procyonoides (raccoon dog)
Lineage: Eukaryota; Metazoa; Chordata; Mammalia; Carnivora; Canidae
Exons: 2
Source: RefSeq, a predicted model, not a curated record
AGACAGCACGGGCGUCAGGAGGGCCCUGUGCCCCCUCCCACCCUCACCUGGUGUCAGCGCGGUCGUCUGGGCGUGACCCCUGACCUCUGUCGCUCAGCAAGUCUGCAGGAACCUUGUGUCCAGGGAAGCUGAGAACACACAUCCCUCGGACCCUGUGAUUUGCCAGGACCCGACCUCCGCCCGCUUCUCCCCAGGAGCGAGCAGCCAAUGGGAGGGGGAGCCUGUGAGCCUAGAGCACAGGUGCUUUCUCCUCCCAAAUCCUGACACUCCGGAGGAAUAAAGGCCUCGAACUGC